UGAGGAAUAUUGGUCAAUGGACGGAAGUCUGAACCAGCCAUGCCGCGUGAAGGAUGAAGGCGUUCUGCGUUGUAAACUUCUUUUGUCUGGGAAGAAACCACAGAUUUCUAUUUGUGUUGACGGUACCAGAAGAAUAAGCACCGGCUAACUCCGUGCCAGCAGCCGCGGUAAUACGGAGGGUGCGAGCGUUAUCCGGAUUUACUGGGUUUAAAGGGUGCGUAGGCGGGCUAUUAAGUCAGAGGUGAAAUCUCCGGGCUCAACCUGGAAACUGCCUUUGAUACUAUUAGCCUUGAAUUAUGUUGAGGUUGGCGGAAUAUAACAUGUAGCGGUGAAAUGCUUAGAUAUGUUAUGGAACACCGAUUGCGAAGGCAGCUGGCUAAACAUAUAUUGACGCUGAUGCACGAAAGCGUGGGUAGCGAAC
RNAcentral lists this ribosomal RNA (421 nucleotides) under uncultured bacterium. Its description in RNAcentral is "bacterial SSU rRNA". It matches the Rfam family "Bacterial small subunit ribosomal RNA", at positions 355 to 773 of the family's 1533-position model. The record is from RNAcentral.